RNAcentral lists this ribosomal RNA (253 nucleotides) under uncultured bacterium. RNAcentral's name for it is "partial 16S ribosomal RNA". It matches the Rfam family "Bacterial small subunit ribosomal RNA", at positions 524 to 776 of the family's 1533-position model. The record is from RNAcentral.
GACGUAGGAUGCGAGCGUUGUCCGGAUUUAUUGGGCGUAAAGAGCGUGUAGGCGGCCAGACAGGUCCGUUGUGAAAACUCGAGGCUCAACCUCGAGACGCCGAUGGAAACCGUUUGGCUAGAGUCCGGAAGAGGAGAGUGGAAUUCCUGGUGUAGCGGUGAAACGCGCAGAUAUCAGGAAGAACACCCGUGGCUAAGGCGGCUCUCUAGUACGGUACUGACGCUGAGACGCGAAAGCGUGGGGAGCGAACAGG